Molecule: ribosomal RNA, 493 nt
Filed under: Escherichia coli
Lineage: Bacteria; Pseudomonadati; Pseudomonadota; Gammaproteobacteria; Enterobacterales; Enterobacteriaceae
Description: bacterial SSU rRNA
Rfam family: Bacterial small subunit ribosomal RNA
Source: RNAcentral
UUAGAGUUUGAUCCUGGCUCAGAUUGAACGCUGGCGGCAGGCCUAACACAUGCAAGUCGAACGGUAACAGGAAGAAGCUUGCUUCUUUGCUGACGAGUGGCGGACGGGUGAGUAAUGUCUGGGAAACUGCCUGAUGGAGGGGGAUAACUACUGGAAACGGUAGCUAAUACCGCAUAACGUCGCAAGACCAAAGAGGGGGACCUUCGGGCCUCUUGCCAUCGGAUGUGCCCAGAUGGGAUUAGCUAGUAGGUGGGGUAACGGCUCACCUAGGCGACGAUCCCUAGCUGGUCUGAGAGGAUGACCAGCCACACUGGAACUGAGACACGGUCCAGACUCCUACGGGAGGCAGCAGUGGGGAAUAUUGCACAAUGGGCGCAAGCCUGAUGCAGCCAUGCCGCGUGUAUGAAGAAGGCCUUCGGGUUGUAAAGUACUUUCAGCGGGGAGGAAGGGAGUAAAGUUAAUACCUUUGCUCAUUGACGUUACCCGCAGAAGA